ACCAUCAAAACCAAGAACAGUUCCCAUGGUUGAAAUCGCCGAAGAAAAAUCCGUCCCCGCUCUUCCACCAUGGCGCCUUCAAGAUUUCGAGAUUGGAAAGCCGCUAGGCCGAGGAAAAUUUGGAAAAGUUUACCUCGCACGAGAAAAACAGAGCAAAUACAUCGUCGCCCUCAAGGUCAUAUUCAAAGAACAGCUGGCGAAGUACCGGCUCCACCACCAGCUGCGGCGGGAGAUCGAGAUCCAGAGCAGCCUCAGCCACCCCAACGUUCUCCGCCUCUUCGGUUGGUUCCAUGACGAACACCGCAUUUUCUUGAUUCUUGAGUAUGCUGGCCGGGGAGAGCUCUUCAAAGAGCUUAGGAGGUCAGAGUACCUUUCCGAAAAGCGGGCUGCCACUUAUAUUGCGAGUCUGGCCAAGGCAUUGGCUUACUGCCAUGAGAAGCAUGUCAUUCACAGGGACAUCAAGCCUGAGAAUUUGUUGCUGGAUUUGGAGGGCCGACUGAAAAUUGCAGAUUUUGGAUGGUCAGUGCAAUCCAGAUCAAAGAGGCUCACCAUGUGUGGAACUUUGGAUUAUCUAGCACCAGAAAUGGUAACAAACAAAGCACAUGACUACACAGUUGACAACUGGACCUUGGGCAUCCUCUGCUACGAGUUCCUUUACGGCGUCCCACCUUUUGAAGCCGAGAGCCAGGAAGAUACAUUCAAAAGGAUUGUGGAGAUCGACUUGAGUUUUCCUCCCACUGCUCAUGUGUCUGCAGAAGCAAAGGACCUGAUCUGUCGGCUUCUGGUGAAGGAUUCUUUCAAGAGACUCUCCCUUGAGAAAAUUCUAGAUCAUCCGUGGAUUAUCAGGAAUGCAGACCCCUCUGGUACUUGCAUUGAGAAGGGCAUUGAGUCAAAGUGACAAGAUUGCAACACCAUUUUACAACUGAUGACUGUAUGAUGAGGAGAAAGGUUGUCAAAUUAUGAAUGUUUUGUUCUUCUUAUGUUGAGGUAGACAAGCCAUGAGUUUCUGCCCAUUGUAUCAUAAUAUUGCGAGUCUAGCCAAGCCAUUGGCUUACUGUCACGACAAGCAUGUCAUUCACAGGGACAUCAAGCCUGAGAAUUUGUUGCUGGAUUUAGAGAAACUGCUCACAAUUAGAGAGAACAAAACUAGUCAAGCUCCUUCUCAAAAUUAUCUGAUGCUCUCAUGCUGAACUGUUUUCCUCAUCUUAUUCAAUUGGCAAUCAAUGGUAUGCUGCUGAUAAUCGAAACAGAACCCCAAUGUUUAACAAUUUGUGGGAGGUUCAGACCCUUGCUUUUGUCAUGGACUCAUGAUAGGGGAUGCAUUCGUAAGAGUUGGGUCUUCUGUUUCAGUGGAUUUGUGGCUAUCUACACUUGAGUGAACUGGGUUUUGAGGAAAGUGACGGAUGUCUUGGCAUCGAAGGGUCUGCUUAUAGAAGAUAAUGUCAUGUCCAGGUUUUAUAGCUCUCUUCUGCAUUGUCUCCAUUUGGUUCUCUCCAGCCCAAAAGGUUCUAUAUCAGAGCAUGUAGCAGGUUUUGUAGCAUCAUUGCAAAUAUUCUUCAUCUAUGGCCUUACAAAUAAAGGGCCUUUACUUUUACCAAAUUCUAGCUGUAAAGAGAAGGAAGUUAUUUCUUUGAAUUUAAAUUCAAUACUGGAGGAAUCUUGCAAAACCAAUGAAGGUCCAUAUAGACCUCCACAUCUACGCAAAAGAGAAGGGAUGUGUACACAGCCAUUUAAAGCCUGGGAUUCUCAGAGAAGUUCAGAUUGGUGAGUCUUCUGCGCCUGGUUUUGCAUCAUCAGAUUCAGAUCACAGUGAUAGCAAUGGAUCAGUAAAAGAUGCAGACCGCUUUAGGUGUUCGAAGGCUAGGAUAUCUGCUAUUUUGCAUGCAGGUAAUGCUACAUGUGGAAAAGCUAUUAUUAUUUAGGUAAUUGAUCUCAAAAUAUUUUUUCACUACUGCAUUUUGACGUCUGCAUUUCAACUAGAAGGAUCCUUGUCAGCUGAUCCUAAAUCACUUAGUUCUCAUUGGAAUAUACUUCUGCCAACCAAUGGUGUGCUACAACCAAGACUUGGAUUGCAGCUGCAUCAACUUUAGCAGCCAUGUUGGAUGGUCCUUGGUCUGUUUUUCUGCAACUAUCAGAAUACAAAGAAUGCAUAAAAUGUGGAUUAUUUACUACUCUUUCGAGCUCCCUUGGUGAAAUUCUAUUGCAGCUUCAUAUGGGUAGAUGAGAAGAAAUAUGUUUUAGAUUUUUUAGGAAAGAUAGGCUCAAACCCAUGUCAUCAUUGUUGAAGCAGAAAGUGCUUUUCAUUGAUCCAUGGGCUUGAUCAAAGAUUGAUUCUUACAUAUGUCCAUCAUAGUUGUAGGAAUAGAAAUAAAAUGCCUUUAUUUAUUUAUUUAUUUUUGAAGGAUGAAAUUUAUUAGCAAAGCCCAAGGGGCAAAAGCAGAAAAACACGAAGAAAAAAAUGGAAAGAACUAAAAAUACAACACCCCAACCCCAGACCAGGGGUCCAAUCCUAAUAAAAGAAAACACCUUAUUUACAACAUAAGCUGAAGAGAGUCUAUUAUCCUUGAAACACCUCUCGUUCCUUUCCCAUCAUAUGCUCCAAAGAACAUCCAGCAAAGAAAUUCACUAUUUCCACUUUUCAGAGGAAGAGAGGUUACCCUCUCAUGUUUGGGAUUGAUGGAUGGUUGCAUGGUAUGGAUGGAUUGAUGGUUGUAUCAUCAUGCAUAUGUAUUGUGUUUAUAUACUAUUUAUGCAUGGAUGUAUAAUGUACGAAUGCAUUAUACAUGUUUGUUUACUUGUUAAUUGGUUUAAUGAGAUUUAAAUGAUUGACUGGUUUUUGUGUUACUAUUGGAUUGAUUUCUUAUGACAAGAUCUCUAGCUGGCAUGGACACCUCUACUGCCUCUCUUUUCCAAUUCCUGAAUCAACAUUGAUUUCUUUCCAACCAUAACGACCAAAGCCCAGUAAUACAAGGGCAUUUUCACACCGGGCUCGAGUGAGGUUGCCUAUGAGAUGCAGGGGCACACUCGGGGUGGGCGGCUCGUGUGAGGCGGGUGGCUCGUGUGAGGCAGUACCCAUGUGAUUUGGGGCCCACAAGGGGGGUUCAGUCGAGGUCCUAAUCCAUGAGAUGCGGGGCCUGUGCAAUGAGAUAAAGGGAUUGAUUCGCCAUGAUCUAACAGUUCAAGCUUUUAGAGCAAGUGGUUAACUGUCCUGCAUC
Magnolia sinica is the source of this 3215-nucleotide RNA transcript. It is a transcript of the gene named serine/threonine-protein kinase Aurora-3-like, with no coding region annotated. The transcript has 13 exons. The record is from RefSeq and is a predicted model, not a curated record. Lineage: Eukaryota; Viridiplantae; Streptophyta; Magnoliopsida; Magnoliales; Magnoliaceae.